UUGAACGCUGGUGGCAUGCCUUACACAUGCAAGUCGAACGGUAGAGGGGCAACCCUUGAGAGUGGCGAACGGGUGAGUAAUAUAUCGGAACGUGCCCAGUCGUGGGGGAUAACGCAGCGAAAGCUGCGCUAAUACCGCAUACGAUCUAUGGAUGAAAGCGGGGGAUCGCAAGACCUCGCGCGAUUGGAGCGGCCGAUAUCAGAUUAGGUAGUUGGUGGGGUAAAAG
This 226-nucleotide ribosomal RNA is filed under the name uncultured bacterium. Its description in RNAcentral is "partial 16S ribosomal RNA". It matches the Rfam family "Bacterial small subunit ribosomal RNA", at positions 30 to 263 of the family's 1533-position model. The record is from RNAcentral.